CAAGAGUCUGGAUGAACUCCGGGAGUUGGUGAUGGACAGGGAGGCCUGGAGUGCUGGGGUCCAUGGGAUCACAAAGAGUUGUAUAUGACUGAGUGACUGAACUGAACUGAACUGAAAGGAGUCCACUGCCCUCCGAAAUUCUGCUGAGUCACCACAGCCCUUCCAUGCUUGUUGGAUAAGGCUGGUACAGCCAAACUUGAAGAGCCUGAAGUUGUCCGCUUGUAAGGAGGUGCUGAUUUUCCAAAUGUCCUAUUCCUACCUCAUGAACUCACUUCUAGAACUAGAAUCAGAUGCUAGAAUGCUCGAAGAGGAUACAGACAAGAUCUGACCCAGAGGAUACAGUUUACAUAAUGAAAGAAUGACCAGAUUUCACUAAUUUUUAUCAGCAGAAAUCCAAGAAAAGUGCGUGGGUAUGACUCUAAAGGUAACAUGAGAAAAGGAACAUAGUUCCCAUUAUGCACUCAUCGCGCUGGCUCCAGCACUGGCAGUGGUUCUAAGAGUUUGUUUAGCUGUUUUACUGUAACUUGGGCUCAGUGAUGGCCAACAUUAAAUGAAAUUGUGAUGCCAAGUAAUACAAAAGAAGAAAUCAAAAAUACUUAGGGAAUCAGGAUUGUUCGAGUAGAUUAAUUGUAUGCAACCUAUCCACUCACUUUCUAACCAUGCCCCCUAAGAAUAUCCAAAGGACUCUCCUUCACCAGGCCUUGAGUAGUAUAUUUUCAUCUUUGAAAAACUCUGUGGUGGCUGUCCAUGGUGGGUGGGGAAUGUUGACGGGAGAUGUUCCCAUUGAAAAACUACCUGAUUUCAACGGAGAUUAUGGCUCCCAGACUGGCAGAAGCAUGUGGCAACACUUAACUCCAUCCCACCUCCAAAAAAAGGGCCACAGACUCAGAGCAGUAGUCAGAAAGUUUUGCUCACCAGAUACCAUUAGCAGUGGUAAACUUCUUGGAGUUUCCAGUACUGAAAUAGAUGGCAGCCCACAGGUGUGCUACGUGAGCAGAUAUCUAAGACCUCUAUGGCAUGCAUUCCUGCUCUCUGCUUUAUCAACCCACAUCUCUGGUCUCAUGGGGAGUUCCCUGUGACCAGGUGGCUGAGAAAGGAAAAGGUGAAGCACUAUACACUGGCUUUAACUGGAAGUGACCUGAUGUGUUCCAACAGCCCUUCAGGGAAGUGGCCCUAAAGGAUAGUGGGAGAAGGGAAAUCCUUCCAGGGUGCAGCUUCAAGCAAUACACUGAGUUGUCACUUGGGAGGAGAGAAAGCUAGCGGCCUACUUGGAUAUUCGGAGAUUUGGAAGGAACAAGGUCAGAGUGUCGAUGAUAAGGAGGUCUGGGGGAAAAGGAUGUGAGUGACCACUUGGAAUGGACACAGAGUCUGAGUGUAUUGGGUUUCCUUGUGAAUCUUCAUGAGAGUUACCCCCUUCUAAGGAGACUUGAGAAGCUAGUGUGCAAGAAAACUUAUGUAGAUGUCAGUCAGCAUUUCCCCAGCUACCCCAGUGCUCUUUAACACAAAUGAACAGCCUUGGCAGUAGGAAUGGAUGAGAUAGGUGUGCAAUCUUGUCAAGGUGGAUCUUACUGCUGAACACCCGACACUCCGACGGCUGAGCCCAACACUGAGACCCCAGCACAAGUACCCUGAACACCUGUGGAGAGCAGCCCGCCACUUGGUGGCAGGUCGGUUACACGGAGCCCUUCCAUCGUGGAGUGGGCAGGGAUCUGCCUUCUGUGGAGAAAGCAUGUAUUCCAGGUUAAAACCACAUUUUCCAGAUUACUAUGGAGUUAAAAUUCUCAAUAUAAUUCAAGUCUUGCCAGUGAUGGAUAAACAGUGGUGCAAGACUUGGAACAUAGAAGGAAGUCCCAUUUUUCUGUGACAGACCAGUUGGCAAGCAAGCUCAGGGGAGUUGGCAGAAGCUGGACUCAUGUUCCCCUGUCAGCUCUCAAAGGGUAGAGGCCAUCUCAGGUGUCAGCAGUAGCAAUGGCAGUAAGUGACCUGAACUUUGUUCUCUUUUGGGGGCGGCCAGGGAGGGUGGCCACUAAGAGUCGGACACGACUUCACUUUCACUUUUCAUUUUCAUGCAUUGGAGAAGACAAUGGCACCCCACUCCAGUGUUCUUGCCUGGAGAAUCCCAGGGACGGGGGAGCCUGGUGGGCUGCCGUCUAUGGGGUCGCACAGAGUCGGACAUGACUGAAGCGACUUAGCAGCAGCAGCAGCAGCCGGGAGGUUGGCUCAGCAGCAGUGUGGAAUCUUAAUUCUGACACGCUGUUUCAUUUGGUUUUACUUUCUUAAUGAUGCUGUUUUACGUUUUAAAUCUUAAUGUUGCCCAAAAUAUAAAUUGUUUCCUUUU
This is a long non-coding RNA of Bubalus bubalis (water buffalo), 2338 nucleotides long. RefSeq lists it as uncharacterized. The record is from RefSeq and is a predicted model, not a curated record. Lineage: Eukaryota; Metazoa; Chordata; Mammalia; Artiodactyla; Bovidae. The transcript is spliced from 2 exons.